This is a long non-coding RNA of Amphimedon queenslandica, 268 nucleotides long. RefSeq lists it as uncharacterized. Lineage: Eukaryota; Metazoa; Porifera; Demospongiae; Haplosclerida; Niphatidae. The transcript has 3 exons. The record is from RefSeq and is a predicted model, not a curated record.
GAAGCUGCUAAAAGAGGUGAUUCUACUGGUGUCCAGUCUGCACUGUCUCAAGGAGCUAAUGUAAACUAUCAGAAUCUCAAUGAGGAUGGAGUUACUUCCCUUCAUGUUGCUGCAAAAGAAGGAUAUGUUGAGGUUGUACAAAAUUUAGUGUCUGCUGGAGCUAAUGUGAACCUCAUAGAUACAGAUGGAUAUACUGCUCUUAUUAAAUCAGCAGAAGAAGGACACUAUGAAAUUGCAGAAUUACUGCUUAAGAGUGGAGCUGACCCAA